UAAUCUAUUUGUCAACCUUGAUUUUGGCACGAAAGUCUGCAGAAUGCUUCGUAGUUUUUAAAGCACAUAGAGGGCACUGCAAUUCUUUCUUAUUCCUUGACCUGAAGUUUUCUUGCAAUUUUUUUUUUUUUUUUUUUAAUUGCUGUAUUGGCACACAUACAAUUUUUGUAUAGUGGCUUCAGAUGUGGAUAAGUUUUUCGAACACUUUCGUUUGUUUUACUGGCAUCGCUGAAUUUUGUGAUGAAAUGCAGCACAUUUAUUGCAGAGUGUCACCUUCCAAAUUUUUCAUACUGUUAAUGUAUACAUCAGCAGUGAAUUAUUCUCCUCUUUUCUCAAAUACACUACGGCGAUAAACAAUAACCAUUCACUAAAGAUUUUGUGUAAAUUCCACCUCAUAAUAAUUUAAAUUGCGAAAAUCUCACAAUUAGCACCUAAACACACUAUUCAGCAGCACAAUUUUUUCGAAAGCGCGCCGUAGUAGUCAAAAGUGGGGUAGGCGUCUUGCCAGGUGAAACUAGUCGAUAUUUCCGUGACGUCAAAAAUUCGAAAAGUGGGGUAGGGUUUGGAAAUACGCACCCGGGUCGAGCUCUCAGUAUUCAGUGAUCUUGGUGGAUGUUCCAGUUUAUUUCCAAACGGCAUUUAUGCUCGGCAUUUUGUUCAAAAGGUUUUUUUUUUUUAUUUUAUUUUAUUAUUUUUUUUUUUAUUUUAAGGAAAGAUUACACAAAUGUGAUAAUUAUUUGCAGAAGUAAAUUUACUCAACUCAAUAUUCUAUUAUGAGCUUGAAGCAAGGAGGUUAGAAUACUUGGCUUGAAGAGUGGAAACAGAAAAAAAAAUGUCGGACGCUAUGCUACGAAACGGUAAAUUUAUUUUAAGUAGUGAUUCUGAAUCUGAUGAAGAAAAGCCAGUGUUAAAAAGAAAAGCGUCAGAUAAUAGUGGGAGUAAAAAGAAAAAGAAGAAGCAUCACAAGCACAAGCAUAAACAUAAACAUUCAUCUCAUAAACCUAAGAAAAGUAGUGAAAUCCAUGUAAAACAUAAACAUCGUACUCAUAUAGAGAAAAAAGAAGUGAAUAGCAUGGGCCUUGAGGAAUUAGAGAAGCAAAAGGCUUUAAUUGAGGCAAAGUUAGCUAAAGUUGAUGCGGUUGUUCAGCAGCAAGCUUCUCUUGUUUCUGUUGAAUAUGGUAGUUCAGAUGAGAACAGUCCUCUUCAUAUUGAAACUACUGUAGAAAGACAUGAUUCUGAGUCUACUGCUAGUAGAAUUGUUUGUAUAAAAGACGUUCCACGUAAAGAAAUAUCAAGCCACCGUAAACAUGAUAAAGAAAAUGACAGAGGGGAAUUAAAACGAAAAAAUGUUCAUAAAGAGUCUAAAAGCUUGAAAGAAAAUCAUGAUGGGAAGCAUGCAAGUAGUGUAUCAAAACAUAGUGCAGCUUUACGUGAUCUUAGCAUAGAAAAAAUUUCAAGUCAUAAAAGGGAAAAAGAUUAUAUGGAAGUAAAAAAUCAUGAAAAAUCACCAAAAUCUCAUAAAAGGCCUCAUUCUCCUCCAAGGAAUGAACUUUCUCAUCAUACUAGCACAAGAAUUCGCUCUCCUGUCCAUCGAUCAGAAAUGAGAAAACUGCCAUCACCACGCCGUAAAGAACGGUGCUGGGUUUCUCCCCCAAGAUCACAUUCACGUCGUAGUCCUUCACCCAGAGCUUCAUAUCCUAGACAUACUGAAAAACCACGAAUGAGAAGUCCUAUCAGAUCUCGAAGUCCCAUGCCACGUAGAUCUCCUGAACACUAUGUCUCAGAUUUUCGGACCUCGCGGAGAUCACCUGAUCAUUAUGUAUCAGAUUCCAGAACUUCACGUAAAUCACCUGAUCAUUAUAUAUCAGAUUCCAGGACGUCGCGUAGGUCACCUGACCAUUACCCUUCAGAUUCUAGAAUUUCACGCAGAUCACCAGAACAUUAUGCAUCAGAUUCCAGGGGCUUACGUAGGUCAUCUGAACGAUAUAUAUCAGACUCCAGGACCUCGCAUAGAAGGUCUUUGGGUCGUGCAGUUUCACCUAGAAGGUAUCCAAGUGAUCGAACAAAUAGCCAUCGACAAAGUGGGAGUAGAACACGAAGUCCUGAAAGGAACAGAAGAUCACGAAGUCUUGAAAGGAACAGAAGAUCACGAAGUCCUGAAAGGAACAGAAGAUCACGAAGUCCUGAAAGGAAUAGAAGAUCACGUAGUCCUAAAUCUUAUAGGGAUCGAAGACGGUCUCGGGAUAAUACGAGACCUACAAAUGCUUCAAGAGGAAGUCCCCAUCGAAAAUCUCGGUCAAGUGGCACUGCUGAUCAAGAUCAAAAACAUAGGAGAAGUGAAAAAGAUAAAUUCAAGGAUAGUUUAUCUGAAGGGCAAAAAGUACAGCAUGAAGAUUCAUCAGAUGAUCAAAUUGUUGAUCUUGAAGUAGAAGAGGAGGAGGAAGAAGAUGAAGAAAUUGUCAUUCAGAGACGCAGGCAACAAAGACAAGAAUUAUUAAAGAAACUAGGAGUGGAGCAACCUCAGGGAGGAAGUGGUAUGUCAUCUCCAGCUCAUUCCAACAGUGGAACAGAUACACCUGAUUCCACUACUAUUGGAGAUCAGGCAGCAGCUAGUUUUUGGGCUGAACAAGAUGAACAGUCCAAUGAUUUUGAAGCUUCUAUUCUAGAUAAAAGAAAGAUUAUGGGUUUGCAAGAGGCUAAUGCAGAAAAUGCUGCAGCUGAUGGCACAGAAAAAAAGAAGAAAUUGGAUAUGUUUUCAGAAGCUGAUAAUUUUGUAUCUGAUCUUAGCCCCGGAUCAACACGUCUCAUGUCUGCUUCCGGGCAAGAAAAUCCAAAUUUGACUGAUAACUGGGAUGAUGCGGAAGGUUAUUAUAGAGUGAGAAUUGGAGAGGUUCUAGAUACACGAUACACUGUUUAUGGCUACACUGGUCAAGGCGUAUUUAGUAAUGUAAUUAGAGCUAGAGAUAUGGCUAGAGGAAACCAAGAUGUUGCAAUUAAAAUUAUUAGGAAUAAUGAAAUUAUGCAUAAAACUGGUCUUAAAGAAUUGGAAAUGUUAAGGAGAUUAAAUGAUGCUGAUCCAGAUGAUAAAUUUCACUGUUUGCGCUUAUAUCGCCAUUUUUUUCACAAGCAGCAUUUGUGCUUGGUUUUUGAACCAUUAUGCAUGAAUCUCAGAGAAGUUCUUAAGAAAUAUGGGAAGGAUGUCGGUUUACAUAUCAAAGCUGUACGUUCUUAUAGUCAGCAACUGUUCCUUGCUUUAAAACUUUUAAAAAGGUGCAAUAUUUUGCAUGCAGAUAUUAAACCUGAUAAUAUAUUGGUUAAUGAUCGUAAACUGGUCUUAAAACUUUGUGAUUUUGGUUCUGCAUCACAUGUUGCAGAAAAUGAUGUUACCCCUUAUCUUGUGAGUCGAUUUUAUCGAGCUCCUGAAAUAAUUUUAGGUUUAAAUUAUGAUUUUGGCAUUGACACAUGGAGUGUUGGUUGCACUUUGUAUGAAUUAUAUACAGGAAAAAUAAUGUUUCCUGGGAAGUCUAACAAUCAGAUGUUAAAGAAUUUUAUGGAUUUGAAGGGUAAAUUUCCUAAUAAACUUAUCAAAAAAGGAGCAUUCCGUGAACAGCAUUUUAACAAUAGCUGCAACUUCCUUUCACAUGAAGUUGAUAAAGUAACUGAAAGGGAGAAGGUAGUAGUUCUGACUAACAUUAAUCCAAGUCGAGAUCUACAAGCAGAAUUGGUUGGAUCGCAACGUUUACCUGAUGAUCAGUAUCGGAAAGUAUGCCAGUUGAAAGAUUUAUUGGAGAAAAUUCUGAUGCUUGAUCCAGCUAAAAGAAUAUCCAUAAAUCAAGCAUUAACUCAUCCAUUUAUUCAAGAAAAAAUAUAAGUGGAAUUUCUUCCUUUUUGGGACUAUUAUUCAUCAGACAUACAGGAGCACAUCAGAAAUUGUCUGUCACUCAGCAAGAACCUUAAGAACUGUAUUCACACUUUGUGUUUAUGUUCAUAAACUAUCAGUAUGUGAGAAGGAAACGUAAUUUCUUGUGCCAUGCCCUUUGCUGUUGAAAUAAGAUCUGUUCGCUGACAGAAAGCAGUAUAGUGCUUUGUGGCUCCAAGAUGAUGCAUAACUGGAAGUGUGUGGUCAUUCAAGCUCUGCUGUCUACACUUGUUGCACUCUGAAGGCAAGGCCUAACAAGACAGCUGAAGCAAGGAAAAUUCUGAAAUUCGAAGCCUUGCUGAUCAUCUGUUGCUCAGUUAAGUUAUUUCUCCAAAUAUUGGAUCAAUAUUUUUACAAUUUUUAGAAGAGACUGUGAUUGAAAAACACAAUUUGUGCCUAUUAAUUUUUGAAUAGCUGAUUGAUGAUUUUAUCAAUGAAAACUGAUUAAGAGAAGUUCGAGUUGGGAACCGUAAGUUAUUUUAUGAAUGGUAUUCAGACAAAAUGCUAUAUUUUAUGCAGUAAAUCCACUGUUUAAUUUCAUUCACUUACAUUCUAAACAAUUUUCCAUGUUGAAGUGAUGUUUGUAUGAUAAAUAUCUAAAACACUUUUAUUUUAUUAAGUGGAGUGUCAAUCUAUGAUGUAAUUUAUUUAGGUACUUGAACACUUUUGUCUACAUUGAGCUCAUAGUCAUUGUAUAAAAAAUAUCAUUGAAACAAAUAGAUAUGCUUAUUAGUCUGUUCAAAGAAACUUGUUUGUAAAAUAAAAUUGUUUUAUUGCUGAA
This 4700-nucleotide unclassified non-coding RNA is filed under the name Stegodyphus dumicola. RNAcentral describes it as "serine/threonine-protein kinase PRP4 homolog, transcript variant X3". The record is from RNAcentral. Lineage: Eukaryota; Metazoa; Arthropoda; Arachnida; Araneae; Eresidae.